UGGAAGCAUCGCGGAUCAUGAAUU
Molecule: non-coding RNA, 24 nt
Filed under: Mus musculus (house mouse)
Lineage: Eukaryota; Metazoa; Chordata; Mammalia; Rodentia; Muridae
Source: RNAcentral